UACGUAGGGGGCUAGCGUUAUCCGGAAUCACUGGGCGUAAAGGGUGCGUAGGCGGUCUUUCAAGCCAGAAGUGAAAGGCUACGGCUCAACCGUAGUAAGCUUUUGGAACUGUAAGACUUGAGUGCAGGAGAGGAGAGUGGAAUUCCUAGUGUAGCGGUGAAAUGCGUAGAUAUUAGGAGGAACACCGGUGGCGAAGGCGGCUUACUGGACUGUAACUGACGCUGAGUCACGAAAGCGUGGGUAGCAAACAGGAUUAGAUACCCUGGUAGUCCCUGA
RNAcentral lists this ribosomal RNA (276 nucleotides) under uncultured prokaryote. Its description in RNAcentral is "partial 16S ribosomal RNA". It matches the Rfam family "Bacterial small subunit ribosomal RNA", at positions 524 to 800 of the family's 1533-position model. The record is from RNAcentral.